Molecule: transfer RNA, 84 nt
Filed under: Synergistaceae bacterium
Lineage: Bacteria; Thermotogati; Synergistota; Synergistia; Synergistales; Synergistaceae
Description: tRNA-Leu
Rfam family: tRNA
About the family: Transfer RNA (tRNA) molecules are approximately 80 nucleotides in length. Their secondary structure includes four short double-helical elements and three loops (D, anti-codon, and T loops).
Source: RNAcentral
GUCGGACUGGCGGAAUAGGUAGACGCACGGGACUUAAAAUCCUGGGGGCUGCGGCUCGUGCGGGUUCGAAUCCCGCGUUCGACA